AGAUCUGGUUCAGGAUGAACGCUAGCUACAGGCUUAACACAUGCAAGUCGAGGGGCAGCAUUGGGAUAGCUUGCUAUUCAGAUGGCGACCGGCGCACGGGUGAGUAACGCGUAUCCAACCUCCUGCCAGUAGGGAACAGCCCGGCGAAAGUCGGAUUAAUGCCCUAUGUUCUUCAAUGCGGACAUCUAAGUUGAAGGAAAGAUUCAUCGCUGGCAGAUGGGGAUGCGUCCGAUUAGCUUGCCGGCGGGGUAACGGCCCACCGGGGCGACGAUCGGUAGGGGUUCUGAGAGGAAGGUCCCCCACACUGGUACUGAGACACGGACCAGACUCCUACGGGAGGCAGCAGUGAGGAAUAUUGGUCAAUGGGCGUAAGCCUGAACCAGCCAAGUAGCGUGCAGGGAAUGACGGCCCUACGGGUUGUAAACUGCUUUUAUGCGGGGAUAAAGUGCGGCACGUGUGCCGCUUUGCAGGUACCGCAUGAAUAAGGACCGGCUAAUUCCGUGCCAGCAGCUGC
RNAcentral lists this ribosomal RNA (514 nucleotides) under uncultured bacterium. RNAcentral's name for it is "bacterial SSU rRNA". It matches the Rfam family "Bacterial small subunit ribosomal RNA", at positions 14 to 518 of the family's 1533-position model. The record is from RNAcentral.